GGAUAACUUACCCUUUAGGACUGGGAUAACUCUGGGAAACUGGGGAUAAUACUGGAUAUUAGGCUAUGCCUGGAAUGGUUUGCCUUUGAAAUGUUUUUUUUCGCCUAAGGAUAGGUCUGCGGCUGAUUAGGUCGUUGGUGGGGUAAUGGCCCACCAAGCCGAUGAUCGGUACGGGUUGUGAGAGCAAGGGCCCGGAGAUGGAACCUGAGACAAGGUUCCAGACCCUACGGGGUGCAGCAGGCGCGAAACCUCCGCAAUGUACGAAAGUGCGACGGGGGGAUCCCAAGUGUUAUGCUUUUUUGUAUGACUUUUCAUUAGUGUAAAAAGCUUUUAGAAUAAGAGCUGGGCAAGACCGGUGCCAGCCGCCGCGGUAACACCGGCAGCUCGAGUGGUAGCUGUUUUUAUUGGGCCUAAAGCGUUCGUAGCCGGUUUGAUAAGUCUUUGGUGAAAGCUUGUAGCUUAACUAUAAGAAUUGCUGGAGAUACUAUUAGACUUGAAGUCGGGAGAGGUUAGAGGUACUACCGGGGUAGGGGUGAAAUCCUAUAAUCCUGGGAGGACCACCUGUGGCGAAGGCGUCUAACUGGAACGAUCUUGACGGUGAGUAACGAAAGCCAGGGGCGCGAACCGGAUUAGAUACCCGGGUAGUCCUGGCCGUAAACGAUGUGGACUUGGUGUUGGAAUGGCUUUGAGUUGUUCCGGUGCCGAAGGGAAGCUGUUAAGUCCACCGCCUGGGAAGUACGGUCGCAAGACUGAAACUUAA
This 760-nucleotide ribosomal RNA is filed under the name uncultured archaeon. RNAcentral's name for it is "bacterial SSU rRNA". It matches the Rfam family "Archaeal small subunit ribosomal RNA", at positions 102 to 859 of the family's 1478-position model. The record is from RNAcentral.